CACAUAAAGUGACAGCUAGCUGAAUCUUUGGUGUGUCACCAGAGAUAACGUAAAGGAAAAUAAUGAUAUUACUUUACUAUUAGUGUCGUCCAAAUACUCGUGCCAGAAGACUCGGUAAGGCGAGAGACGCAAACGUUAUUCGUCUUGAUCAGGCGUAAAGGGUGUGUAGGCUGCUUUAAGUAGUUAAACUAAGUUUACCUUUAUAAAUUAAAACAAACUUGUUUAAGUUAAAACUUUUUAUUCGUAAAGAAUUAAAUUUAAUUUAAACAAAGUGUCUUAAAUUAAGACUUUUAUUCGUCUCCCCUCCCCUACUCCACAAGCCGCAAAGCGGUGCGUGGGAGGGGAAAGGGAACAGUCGUAUUUUAUUUAAACACAAUUUUUUUUUAUACUAUUGGUUUAAUUCAAUUAAAGCUAGAAUCUAAAAGAGGUUAAAACAAUACUUAAGGUAGGAGUACUAACCGUAAAUAUUAAGUAGAGUGUUAAUGGCGUAGGCAUUUAUCCAAUACAGAUUGACGCUGAGAAACGAAAGUGAGGGCAGAAAAAAGGAUUAGAGACCCUUGUAUUCCUCACUGUCAACGAUGAAUGGUGGUUACUAGUUAGAAAUCAACUAGAGGCGAUGUUAACACGUAAACCAUUCCGCCUUGUGAGUACAACUGCAAAGUUGAAAACAAAAAAAUUAGUCGGUUUCGGAGCAAACGAAGUGAAGCAUGUUAUUAC
Molecule: ribosomal RNA, 717 nt
Filed under: Hymenochaete tongbiguanensis
Lineage: Eukaryota; Fungi; Basidiomycota; Agaricomycetes; Hymenochaetales; Hymenochaetaceae
Description: partial small subunit ribosomal RNA
Rfam family: Bacterial small subunit ribosomal RNA
Source: RNAcentral